GUGGGGAAUAUUGGACAAUGGGCGCAAGCCUGAUCCAGCAAUGCCGCGUGAGUGAUGAAGGCCUUAGGGUUGUAAAGCUCUUUCACCGGGGAAGAUAAUGACGGUACCCGGAGAAGAAGCCCCGGCUAACUCCGUGCCAGCAGCCGCGGUAAUACGGAGGGGGCUAGCGUUGUUAGGAAUUACUGGGCGUACAGCGCGCGUAGGCGGCUUGACAAGUUGGAGGUGAAAGCCCGGAGCUCAACUUCGGAAUUGCCUUCAAGACUGUCUCGCUCGAGGCAGGGAGAGGAGAGCGGAAUACCCAGUGUAGAGGUGAAAUUCGUAGAUAUUGGGUGGAACACCGGUGGCGACGGCGGCUCUCUGGCCCUGAUCUGACGCUAAGGCGCGAAAGCGUGGGGAGCAAACAGGAUUAGAAACCCCAGUAGUCC
RNAcentral lists this ribosomal RNA (425 nucleotides) under uncultured bacterium. RNAcentral describes it as "partial 16S ribosomal RNA". It matches the Rfam family "Bacterial small subunit ribosomal RNA", at positions 354 to 796 of the family's 1533-position model. The record is from RNAcentral.